AAAUGAACAGCAAAAUUUCAUUUUUGGGUGAACUAUCCCUGUAAGAUCCAUUUUUAAUGUCUUUCUCAGAGUUUAUUAUGGAGGACUUGAAGCCCGAGGGCUGGCGGCAGCUACUUCAGCCCCAUGGUGCAGCUGGCAAAAACAGCACAAGUCUCCUUCGCAGGUCCUCAUCAUGGAGGAGGCCUGGGGAGCGGGGUUAUUACGAGGGCCCCGCGGCGCAGGUGAAUGAGCCCCCUCGCAGAGCUCGUCCACUGAGCUGCAUAGAGGGUGGCAGGAUGGACAAAUGGCUUCAGACACUAGAGAGACUCCAAUCACGUCGGCUUCAGAAUCAAAUACCUCCGUUUGUGGACAGGACGAUAUCAAUGCCAGUUCUCUCGAAUGAGACAGCGGGAAGUAACCCACUGUGUCCUGAUGUUUCCUCUCUGCGCAGGAGGAAUCAGACCCCUAGCGUCUGUCCCAGAGUGAGUGAAAGCUCCUCGAGCAGUCUGGAGUCUGUUCACAUUAAAGCUGCUCCCGCUGCAGAAAGAGCUCAGUUCUGCGCUCUCGCUCCAGUUCACUUCGGCUGGCUGCCCAUACAAAGACAUGUGAUACUGACAGACAUCUCUCAUAACCACCAUGACAACAGUAGGUGCCAGAAACUGAAGUCUCCCAUCACUCCAGUGUUGCUCAGCACUCCUGCCAAACUUAAUGGACCAAGACCAAAUGGUGCGUAUUGACUAAGAUGGCAAAUUAAAUUUCUGAAUGAACAACUUGUCCAAGGACACCAGUGAAUUAUGUUUAGAGGUUUGAGCUUUACACACUGGUGGUAUAAAGUAAAUUCAGUGAAAUACUUCAUGCAGAAAUCUAAGUUGUGCAUAUCAUUAAUGUUUCUAAAGUUGCACUAAAAAAGAUUUUUGGGGUAAAAAGUGAACAAAAUGGCAUUACUGAACAAGUGCAUGAAAUAAUCAGUGUUCUGUGAUAUUCUGUGGUAAGAUACAAUAAUGAUUUAUAUUAGGAGCGGUUUGGGUCGGAUUUACUGGGAAAUUUAAGGGAUAUCCUAUUCAUUAUUGCAUGAUUACAUCAUGUCCAUAAGUGUAGAAAAGAGAAUGAUGCAAGUUUGAGAGGUCCGAUGUAAAAAAGUGUUCUUUAGAAAGAAAAAGAAAGAAAAAUUAAAAAAACCUUAAACUUCCUAAGGUAAGUUCUUAAAUUCUCAAAAAAAGAAGAAUAUAUAUACAGUACACACACACACACACACACACACACACACACAUUAUUUUUUUUAUUAUUUUAUAAUGAGUAAAUACUUAAAAGAAGUUAUUUGCAAUGAUUUUUAAGAACAUUCUUUUCAAGAUUUGAGUUCUUAAGUUUUGUUUUAGGAAUAUUUUUUAGGUAUACAAAUAUUCUUAGUUCGAAAAUAAGAAGAAAACGAC
This is a long non-coding RNA of Cyprinus carpio (common carp), 1409 nucleotides long. The record is from Ensembl. NCBI's taxonomy places the organism in Eukaryota, Metazoa, Chordata, Actinopteri, Cypriniformes, Cyprinidae.